AUCGGGUAGCUGGUCUGAGAGGACGACCAGCCUCACUGGAACUGAGACACGGUCCAGACACCUACGGGUGGCAGCAGUCGAGAAUUUUUCUCAAUGGGGGAAACCCUGAAGGAGCGACGCCGCGUGGGGGAUGAAUGGCUUCGGCCCGUAAACCCCUGUCAUUUGCGAUCAAACCUUACGACAUAACACGUCGUAAGCUGAUAGUAGCGGAAGAGGAAGGGACGGCUAACUCUGUGCCAGCAGCCGCGGUAAUACAGAGGUCCCAAGCGUUGUUCGGAUUCACUGGGCGUAAAGGGUGCGUAGGCGGUCGGGUAAGUCUGACGUGAAGUCUUCAAGCUCAACUUGGAAACUGCGUCCGAUACUAUUCGGCUAGAGGAAUGGAGGGGAGACUGGAAUACUUGGUGUAGCAGUGAAAUGCGUAGAUAUCAAGUGGAACACCAGUGGCGAAGGCGAGUCUCUGGACAUUUCCUGACGCUGAGGCACGAAAGCCAGGGGAGCAAACGGGAUUAGAUACCCCGGUAGUCCUGGCCCUAAACGGUGCACGUUUGCUGUAAGAGGAAUCGACCCCUUUUGUGGCGAAGCUAACGCGUUAAACGUGCCGCCUGGGAAGUACGGCCGCAAGGUUAAAACUCAAAGAAAUUGGCGGGGGCCUGCACAAGCGGUGGAGUAUGUGGCUUAAUUCGAUACACGCGAAGAACCUUACCUGGCCUUGACAUGCACAUAGUAGAAGGGUGAAAGCCUGACGAGGUAGCAAUACCAGUGUGCACAGGUGCUGCAUGGCUGUCGUCAGCUCGUGUCGUGAGAUGUUGGGUUAAGUCCCGCAACGAGCGCAACCCCUGUGUCCUGUUGCCACCCCUUAACUGGGAGCACUCUGGACAGACUGCCUCGCUUCAACGAGGAGGAGGGUGGGGAUGACGUCAAGUCAGUAUGGCCCUUACGGCCAGGGCUGCACACGUACUACAAUGCCCGGCACAAAGGGAAGCAAGAGCGUAAGCUGGAGCAAAUCCCAGAAAACCGGGCCCAGUUCAGAUUGUCGUCUGCAACUCGACGGCAUGAAGCUGGAAUCGCUAGUAAUGGCGCAUCAGCUACGGCGCCGUGAAUACGUUCCCAGGCCUUGUACACACCGCCCGUCACAUCAUGAAAGCCGCUUGUACCCGAAGUCGCCCCUUAGAAGGUGCCGAAGGUAUGGGUGGUGAUUGGGAUGAAGUCGUAACAAGGUA
Molecule: ribosomal RNA, 1220 nt
Filed under: metagenome
Description: bacterial SSU rRNA
Rfam family: Bacterial small subunit ribosomal RNA
Source: RNAcentral